AGUGAACGCUGGCGGUAGGCCUAACACAUGCAAGUCGAACGGCAGCACAGUAAGAGCUUGCUCUUACGGGUGGCGAGUGGCGGACGGGUGAGGAAUACAUCGGAAUCUACUUUUUCGUGGGGGAUAACGUAGGGAAACUUACGCUAAUACCGCGUACGACCUACGGGUGAAAGCAGGGGAUCUUCGGACCUUGCGCGAUUGAAUGAGCCGAUGUCGGAUUAGCUAGUUGGCGGGGUAAAGGCCCACCAAGGCGACGAUCCGUAGCUGGUCUGAGAGGAUGAUCAGCCACACUGGAACUGAGACACGGUCCAGACUCCUACGGGAGGCAGCAGUGGGGAAUAUUGGACAAAGGGCGCAAGCCUGAUCCAGCCAUACCGCGUGGGUGAAGAAGGCCUUCGGGUUGUAAAGCCCUUUUGUUGGGAAAGAAAAGCAGCAGGUUAAUACCCCGCUGUUCUGACGGUACCCAAAGAAUAAGCACCGGCUAACUUCGUG
Molecule: ribosomal RNA, 492 nt
Filed under: uncultured bacterium
Lineage: Bacteria
Description: partial 16S ribosomal RNA
Rfam family: Bacterial small subunit ribosomal RNA
Source: RNAcentral